This 1433-nucleotide long non-coding RNA is filed under the name Salmo salar (Atlantic salmon). RNAcentral's name for it is "lncRNA (ENSSSAG00000099242.1)". Lineage: Eukaryota; Metazoa; Chordata; Actinopteri; Salmoniformes; Salmonidae. The record is from RNAcentral.
GAGAUUCUGUCAGCUCUGGCCUGAAUUUGUCAGAGACUCAUUUGGUGUUUCAUUUGAAAUAUUUAUGCUUUCAGUUUUGAUCAAUUGCGAAAACAACAAUUAGGCUAACACAAUGUCCGACCUUUGUUGUUCUUCCACUGGAAAUGUUUCAUUGAUGCUGUUUAGUGUUUUAUUUUUUAUUUUACCGUUAUUUUUUUUACACAUUCUCAUUUACUGCAACGACCUGGGGAACUGUUUCAGGGGAGAGGAGGGGUAUGAAUGAGCUAAUUGUAAGCUGUGGAUGAUUCGAUGACGGUGAUGGUAUGAGGACCAGUAACAGUCUGGAAUGGUUUUGCUCAACGUGUUUUCAUCCAGUUAAACUACUAGUUGAUGGAGAGGCGAGUGAGUUCGGUUUGAUAGAAUGUAGUCGUAACUUUGGCGACUUGAGACGUAGAAACUCUUAUCGUGGAUGAGAGUGAUGUCUGAGACAGAUGAAUGGACUGUUGAGAGGAGGAGUUUGUCUGUUUAUCUCGGUCUUCCCGUAAACAGGGUCUAGCUAUCCCUCAAGGACCAUGAAAGCAGAGCUGCCAGAGAUCACUCAGCAUGCACACUACUGGUCAACAUUUUCAGAACACCUCAUUCAAGAGUUACUUAUUUUUACUAUUUUCUACAUUGUAGAAUAAUAGUGAAGACAUCAACUAUGAAAUAACACAUAUGGAAUCAUGUAGUAACCAAAAAAGUGUUGAACAAAUCAGAAAUAUUUUAUAUUAGAUUCUUCAAAUAGCCCCCCUUUGCCUUGACAGCUUUGCACACUCUUGGCAUUCUCUCAACCAGCUUCACCUGGAAUGCUUUUCCAACUGUCUUGAAGGAGUUCCCACAUAUGCUGAGCACUUGUUGGCUGCUUUUCCUUCACUCUGCGGUCCGACUCAUCUCAAACCAUCUGAAUUUGGUUGAGGUUGGGAUUGUGGAGGCCAUGUCAUCUGAUGCAGUACUCCAUCACUCUCCUUUUUGGUCAAAUAGCCCUUACACCGCCUGGAGGUGUGUUGGGUCAUUGUCCUGCUGAAAAACAAAUGAUAGACCCACUAAACCCAAACCAGAUUGGAUGGUGUAUCGUGGCAGAAUGCUGUGGUAGCCAUGCUGGUUAAGUGUGCCUUGAAAUCUAAAUAAAUCACAGUGUCACCAGCAAAGCACACCCACACCUUAACUUCCUCCUCCAUGUUUUACGGUGGGAAAUACACAUGCGGAGAUCAUCCGUUCACCCACACCGUGUCUCACACAGACAAAAAUCUCAAAUUUGGACUCAUCAGGCCAAAGGACACAUUUCCACAGGUCUAAUGUCCAUUGCUUGUGUUUCUUGGCCUAAGCAAGUCUCUUCUUCUUAUUGGUGUCUCUUAGUAGUGGUUUCUUUGCAGCAAUUCGACCAUGAAGGCCUGAUUCACGCAGUCUCCUCUGAA